Unclassified non-coding RNA from Macaca nemestrina (pig-tailed macaque), 282 nucleotides. It matches the Rfam family "Metazoan signal recognition particle RNA". From Rfam's summary of the family: The signal recognition particle (SRP) is a universally conserved ribonucleoprotein. It is involved in the co-translational targeting of proteins to membranes. NCBI's taxonomy places the organism in Eukaryota, Metazoa, Chordata, Mammalia, Primates, Cercopithecidae. The record is from Ensembl.
ACUAACAUUAAAGGGGAAUUCAGCAGAUGCAAUGGGCCAUGCCUAUAGUCCCAGGAGUUCUGGGCUGUAGAGCAUUGUGCUGAUCAGAUGUCCAAACUAAAUUCAGCAUCAACAUGGUGACCUUGUGGGGAGCUGGAGGACCACCAGGUUGCCUCAGGAGGCAUGAAGUGGUCCAGGUUGCAAUUGGAGCAGAAUAAAACUCCCAUACUGAUCAAUAGUGAGAUCAUGCUUGUGGAUAGCAACUGCAUUCAAAUCCUGGAAGCAUAGCAAGACCUCAUUACU